AGCUCCGGCGGUGCAGGAUGAGCCCGCGGCCUAUCAGCUUGUUGGUGAGGUAAUGGCUCACCAAGGCGACGACGGGUAGCCGGCCUGAGAGGGCGACCGGCCACACUGGGACUGAGACACGGCCCAGACUCCUACGGGAGGCAGCAGUGGGGAAUAUUGCACAAUGGGCGAAAGCCUGAUGCAGCGACGCCGCGUGAGGGAUGACGGCCUUCGGGUUGUAAACCUCUUUCAGCAGGGAAGAAGCGAAAGUGACGGUACCUGCAGAAGAAGCGCCGGCUAACUACGUGCCAGCAGCCGCGGUAAUACGUAGGGCGCGAGCGUUGUCCGGAAUUAUUGGGCGUAAAGAGCUCGUAGGCGGCUUGUCACGUCGGUUGUGAAAGCCCGGGGCUUAACCCCGGGUCUGCAGUCGAUACGGGCAGGCUAGAGUUCGGUAGGGGAGAUCGGAAUUCCUGGUGUAGCGGUGAAAUGCGCAGAUAUCAGGAGGAACACCGGUGGCGAAGGCGGAUCUCUGGGCCGAUACUGACGCUGAGGAGCGAAAGCGUGGGGAGC
Molecule: ribosomal RNA, 549 nt
Filed under: Streptomyces albogriseolus
Lineage: Bacteria; Bacillati; Actinomycetota; Actinomycetes; Kitasatosporales; Streptomycetaceae
Description: bacterial SSU rRNA
Rfam family: Bacterial small subunit ribosomal RNA
Source: RNAcentral